This 480-nucleotide ribosomal RNA is filed under the name uncultured organism. RNAcentral's name for it is "bacterial SSU rRNA". It matches the Rfam family "Bacterial small subunit ribosomal RNA", at positions 28 to 507 of the family's 1533-position model. The record is from RNAcentral.
GAUGAACGCUAGCGGCAGGCCUAACACAUGCAAGUCGAGGGGUAGAAGGAGCUUGCUCCUUUGAGACCGGCGCACGGGUGCGUAACGCGUAUGCAAUCUACCUUGUACAGAGGAAUAGCCCAGAGAAAUUUGGAUUAAUGCCUCAUAGUAUAUUGGGUCGGCAUCGACCUAUUAUUAAAGAUUUAUCGGUACAAGAUGAGCAUGCGUCCCAUUAGUUAGUUGGUAAGGUAACGGCUUACCAAGACGAUGAUGGGUAGGGGUCCUGAGAGGGAGAUCCCCCACACUGGUACUGAGACACGGACCAGACUCCUACGGGAGGCAGCAGUGAGGAAUAUUGGGCAAUGGAGGCAACUCUGACCCAGCCAUGCCGCGUGCAGGAAGACGGUCCUAUGGAUUGUAAACUGCUUUUAUACGGGAAGAAACACCACUACGUGUAGUGACUUGACGGUACCGUAAGAAUAAGGAUCGGCUAACUCCGUG